AUCCCUACGGGGGGCAGCAGUGGGGAAUAUUGGGCAAUGGGCGCAAGCCUGACCCAGCAACGCCGCGUGAAGGAAGAAGGCUUUCGGGUUGUAAACUUCUUUUAUCAGGGACGAAGCAAGUGACGGUACCUGAUGAAUAAGCCACGGCUAACUACGUGCCAGCAGCCGCGGUAAUACGUAGGUGGCAAGCGUUAUCCGGAUUUACUGGGUGUAAAGGGCGUGUAGGCGGGAGUGUAAGUCAGAUGUGAAAACUAUGGGCUCAACCCAUAGCCUGCAUUUGAAACUGUACUUCUU
Molecule: ribosomal RNA, 294 nt
Filed under: uncultured bacterium
Lineage: Bacteria
Description: partial 16S ribosomal RNA
Rfam family: Bacterial small subunit ribosomal RNA
Source: RNAcentral